RNAcentral lists this non-coding RNA (25 nucleotides) under Mus musculus (house mouse). The record is from RNAcentral. Lineage: Eukaryota; Metazoa; Chordata; Mammalia; Rodentia; Muridae.
UGGUUAGCAUACUGUCUCUGUGCCC